AAAUUGAAGAGUUUGAUCAUGGCUCAGAUUGAACGCUGGCGGCAGGCCUAACACAUGCAAGUCGAACGGUAACAGGAAACAGCUUGCUGUUUCGCUGACGAGUGGCGGACGGGUGAGUAAUGUCUGGGAAACUGCCUGAUGGAGGGGGAUAACUACUGGAAACGGUAGCUAAUACCGCAUAAUGUCGCAAGACUAAAGAGGGGGACCUUCGGGCCUCUUGCCAUCGGAUGUGCCCAGAUGGGAUUAGCUAGUAGGUGGG
This 259-nucleotide ribosomal RNA is filed under the name Escherichia coli. RNAcentral's name for it is "partial 16S ribosomal RNA". It matches the Rfam family "Bacterial small subunit ribosomal RNA", at positions 1 to 256 of the family's 1533-position model. Lineage: Bacteria; Pseudomonadati; Pseudomonadota; Gammaproteobacteria; Enterobacterales; Enterobacteriaceae. The record is from RNAcentral. RNAcentral also lists the same sequence under 1 other name.